This 251-nucleotide ribosomal RNA is filed under the name uncultured bacterium. Its description in RNAcentral is "partial 16S ribosomal RNA". It matches the Rfam family "Bacterial small subunit ribosomal RNA", at positions 526 to 776 of the family's 1533-position model. The record is from RNAcentral.
CGAAGGGGGCUAGCGUUGUUCGGAAUCACUGGGCGUAAAGCGCACGUAGGCGGAUCUUUAAGUCAGGGGUGAAAUCCCGAGGCUCAACCUCGGAACUGCCUUUGAUACUGGGGAUCUCGAGUCCGGGAGAGGUGAGUGGAACUGCGAGUGUAGAGGUGAAAUUCGUAGAUAUUCGCAAGAACACCAGUGGCGAAGGCGGCUCACUGGCCCGGUACUGACGCUGAGGCACGAAAGCGUGGGGAGCAAACAGG